Molecule: ribosomal RNA, 459 nt
Filed under: uncultured bacterium
Lineage: Bacteria
Description: partial 16S ribosomal RNA
Rfam family: Bacterial small subunit ribosomal RNA
Source: RNAcentral
CCUACGGGGUGCAGCAGUGAGGAAUAUUGGUCAAUGGACGGAAGUCUGAACCAGCCAUGCCGCGUGCAGGAUGACGGCUCUAUGAGUUGUAAACUGCUUUUGUACGAGAAUAAUAGUUCUUACGUGUAGGGAUUUGAAUGUAUCGUACGAAUAAGGAUCGGCUAACUCCGUGCCAGCAGCCGCGGUAAUACGGAGGAUUCGAGCGUUAUCCGGAUUUAUUGGGUUUAAAGGGUGCGCAGGCGGGCCUUUAAGCCGGCGGUGAAAUCGCGGGGCUCAACCCCGCCGAGCCGUCGGAACUGGGGGCCUUGAGUGCGGCGGAGGCAUGCGGAAUGCGCGGUGUAGCGGUGAAAUGCAUAGAUAUCGCGCAGAACCCCGAUUGCGAAGGCAGCGUGCCGUGCCGCCACUGACGCUGAGGCACGAAAGCGCGGGGAUCGAACAGGAUUAGAUACCCUUGUAGUC